Long non-coding RNA from Acinonyx jubatus (cheetah), 993 nucleotides. RefSeq lists it as uncharacterized. The transcript has 2 exons. Lineage: Eukaryota; Metazoa; Chordata; Mammalia; Carnivora; Felidae. The record is from RefSeq and is a predicted model, not a curated record.
UGUCCUCUGACACUCCAGUCUGGAACCCCGACCACGUUCUGAUCAGCUGAGCCCGGGCCUGAUGGGCUCUCCCAUGCCGGGAACGGGGCACUGAGCAGCCAUCGGGGUUGGCAUUCAUAACCAACCACCUGGUCCUUCCCACUACUGAACACAGCUCCAGGAAGGGUGGAGAAAAUAGACGGAGAAAGAGGCCGGCUGCUGGGGCUCAGGAAGGAAGUGGGGAGGCAGGUGGGCCUGUCUCAGGAGACCCGGGGUGCUGAGGGGAACCAGAGACUGAGAGGUGAGGAAUGGGGCCCAGGCUCAGGGGAGAUCACCCAGGGGCCCCCCACGGGGCCCCAGGGGCUGACACGGGGCCUGCAGGGUGGGAGGUUGCCUUGGGAGUGGUGGGUGGCUGGGGAGGAGUACUGGUGGCCAGGGAUGUGGGGUGAGGAUGGGAGGGGGGCUACCCACGGAGCUGCUCUUUCAUGGGUCAGGUCAGAAGCUGGGCAGUGGGGUUCCAGGGUCCGCCUGGGGCUGGAGGUGAGUCAUGGGGAGGAAAGGUCAGCCCAGGGAUGAAGAAACCAGCUGGGCCGCCUGGGGAGGUGAGAAAGACAGUGGCUGGGAGGAGGAAGGACUCCGGAGACCCUCCCCUUGGCCUCAGCUCCCCUGCUCUUACCAGCACCCCCCUUUCCAGAGGGCCCAUGGCUGGUCCCCACCCAAAGGGGACCCAGGUGGAACUGAAAUAUCGGAAGAAGCCAAAAAAGGAAGCAGAUCCCUGACUUCCACAUCCACUAUCUCAUCUGACCCCUAAGCUCCUCUAAGAAGAGGCAGGUGGAGUGGCCCGCAGGUCCACAACUCCAUGUCCGGGCGCGUUUCGGAAUGUUGUGGAUUUUAGAAAGGUAAUAACGGCGCACACACCUGCCAGCAAGGCUUGGAGCAGUACACUGUAAUCCGGUUCAUCUGCACUUGCGUAGUAAAACUAAAUGUAAUAAAUAAAGACCACCCACAGCUUGA